GACGAACGCUGGCGGCGUGCUUAACACAUGCAAGUCGAACGGAAAGGCCCUGCUUGCCGGGUACUCGAGUGGCGAACGGGUGAGUAACACGUGGGUGAUCUGCCCUGCACUUCGGGAUAAGCUUGGGAAACUGGGUCUAAUACCGGAUAGGACCGCACUUUAGUGUGUGUGGUGGAAAGUUUUUUCGGUGUAGGAUGAGCUCGCGGCCUAUCAGCUUGGUGGUGGGGUAAUGGCCUACCAAGGCGGCGACGGGUAGCCGGCCUGAGAGGGUGUACGGCCACAUUGGGACUGAGAUACGGCCCAGACGCCUACGGGAGGCAGCAGUGGGGAAUAUUGCACAAUGGGCGCAAGCCUGAUGCAGCGACGCCGCGUGGGGGAUGAAGGCCUUCGGGUUGUAAACUCCUUUCGCUAGGGACGAAGCUUUUUGUGACGGUACCUAGAUAAGAAGCACCGGCUAACUACGUG
RNAcentral lists this ribosomal RNA (465 nucleotides) under uncultured bacterium. Its description in RNAcentral is "partial 16S ribosomal RNA". It matches the Rfam family "Bacterial small subunit ribosomal RNA", at positions 28 to 507 of the family's 1533-position model. The record is from RNAcentral.